Molecule: long non-coding RNA, 365 nt
Organism: Strongylocentrotus purpuratus (purple sea urchin)
Lineage: Eukaryota; Metazoa; Echinodermata; Echinoidea; Camarodonta; Strongylocentrotidae
Exons: 2
Source: RefSeq, a predicted model, not a curated record
GUUUAGUUUGGAUGGUAUACAUUCAUAGGCCUACGUUAGACGCCAUCUUAAGUUGACUUGAACAAAGUGCUUGCAAAUCACCAUUACAUUAUCGAGUUGUUCUUCUUUAGGCGAAGUUUAAACAUCAAAGGACAACCAAUCGAGGAGGUGAACUUUCUUCAGGAUUUCAAAAUACGAAGGUCAACAUUCUGAUCAGUAUGGCGGCUAACUUCAGCUCUGCAGAAGACAUCUGUGAAGGAGAGAACUGUGAGGCAAUCACAGAUGUGACGUACUACGUGAAGGAGAAGAAGAAGCUCUGCGAUAACUGCGCCUCCACAGGGGGAUGCAUCGGUAAAGCAAGAAAGGGUGGGACCAAUCUAUAUUGU